GUAACAAGGUCUCCGUUGGUGAACCAGCGGAGGGAUCAUUACCGAGUUUACAACUCCCAAACCCCUGUGAACAUACCAAUUGUUGCCUCGGCGGAUCAGCCCGCUCCCGGUAAAACGGAACGGCCCGCCAGAGGACCCCUAAACUCUGUUUCUAUAUGUAACUUCUGAGUAAAACCAUAAAUAAAUCAAAACUUUCAACAACGGAUCUCUUGGUUCUGGCAUCGAUGAAGAACGCAGCAAAAUGCGAUAAGUAAUGUGAAUUGCAGAAUUCAGUGAAUCAUCGAAUCUUUGAACGCACAUUGCGCCCGCCAGUAUUCUGGCGGGCAUGCCUGUUCGAGCGUCAUUUCAACCCUCAAGCCCCCGGGUUUGGUGUUGGGGAUCGGCGAGCCUCACGGCAAGCCGGCCCCGAAAUACAGUGGCGGUCUCGCUGCAGCUUCCAUUGCGUAGUAGUAAAACCCUCGCAACUGGUACGCGGCGCGGCCAAGCCGUUAAACCCCCAACUUCUGAAUGUUGACCUCGGAUCAGGUAGGAAUACCCGCUG
Molecule: ribosomal RNA, 541 nt
Filed under: Fusarium oxysporum
Lineage: Eukaryota; Fungi; Ascomycota; Sordariomycetes; Hypocreales; Nectriaceae
Description: eukaryotic LSU rRNA
Rfam family: 5.8S ribosomal RNA (bases 190-343)
Source: RNAcentral